GGGGGUGACCGGAUUCGACGGGGUGUGUUUGAGCGGCAAUAGCAAGUCGAGUGCCGAAGCUCGUUAAAAAUCGGACCAAAAAGUAACUGCGAACAAUAGACAACUCGCACUAGCUGCCUAAAGGCGUAGCUACGUCCUCCCAGUUUUGCCGGUAGUAUUGGAAAGGGCGUCAACGAUAUCGGAUAGCGACUUUGUUCCGUUUCAGGCAAAUGUUGCGAAACAAAAUGGAACUUUGUCCGACUUCAACUUGUCAGUAAGGAGUAGAAGGACGAGAAAAAAAUGCUGACUAAGCUUGUAGCGGUUGCCGUGUGGACCAUUCCGGACGCGGGUUCAAGUCCCGCCACCUCCACCA
This 352-nucleotide transfer-messenger RNA is filed under the name Vulcanimicrobiota. RNAcentral describes it as "JAIORV01 sp021107945 Standard tmRNA". It matches the Rfam family "transfer-messenger RNA". Rfam says of the family: Bacterial tmRNA, also known as 10Sa RNA or SsrA, is named for its dual tRNA and mRNA-like properties. Its role is to liberate the mRNA from a stalled ribosome. To accomplish this part of the tmRNA is used as a reading frame that ends in a translation stop signal. Lineage: Bacteria; Bacillati. The record is from RNAcentral. RNAcentral also lists the same sequence under 1 other name.